Molecule: ribosomal RNA, 918 nt
Filed under: Triticum aestivum (bread wheat)
Lineage: Eukaryota; Viridiplantae; Streptophyta; Magnoliopsida; Poales; Poaceae
Description: partial small subunit ribosomal RNA
Source: RNAcentral
AUGAAGACCUUCCUCGUCUUUGCCCUCCUCGCCGUUGUGGCAACAAGUGCCAUUGCGCAGAUGGAUACUAGCUACAUCCCUGGUUUGGAGAGACCAUGGCAGCAGCAACCAUUACCACCACAACAGACAUUUCCACAACAACCACCAUUUUCACAAUAACAACAACAACAACAACAACAACCAUUUCCUCAACAACCAUCAUUUUCACAGCAACAACCACCAUUUUCACAGCAACAACCAAUUCUACCACAGGGACCACCAUUUUCACAGCAAACACAACCUGUUCUACCGCAACAAUCACCAUUUUCACAGCAACAACAACUAAUUUUACCUCCACAACAACAACAACAGCUUCCGCAACAACAAAUCUCUAUUGUUCAACCAUCCGUUUUGCAGCAGCUAAACCCAUGCAAGGUAUUCCUCCAGCAGCAGUGCAGCCCUGUGGCAAUGCCACAACGUCUUGCUAGGUCGCAAAUGUGGCAGCAGAGCCGUUGCCAUGUGAUGCAGCAACAAUGUUGCCAGCAGUUGUCGCAAAUCCCCGAACAAUCCCGCUAUGAUGCAAUCCGUGCCAUCACCUACUCCAUCAUCCUACAAGAACAACAACAGGGUUUUGUCCAAGCUCAGCAGCAACAACCCCAACAGUCAGGUCAAGGUGUCUCCCAAUCCCAACAGCAGUCGCAGCAGCAGCUCGGACAAUGUUCUUUCCAACAACCUCAACAGCAACUGGGUCAACAGCCUCAACAACAACAGGUACAACAGGGUACCUUUUUGCAGCCACACCAGAUAGCUCACCUUGAGGUGAUGACUUCCAUUGCGCUCCGUACCCUGCCAACGAUGUGCAGUGUCAAUGUGCCAUUGUACAGCUCCACCACUAGUGUGCCAUUCGGAGUUGGCACCGGAGUUGGUGCCUACUGAUAA